Molecule: ribosomal RNA, 434 nt
Filed under: uncultured Clostridium sp.
Lineage: Bacteria; Bacillati; Bacillota; Clostridia; Eubacteriales; Clostridiaceae
Description: partial 16S ribosomal RNA
Rfam family: Bacterial small subunit ribosomal RNA
Source: RNAcentral
ACGGAAGGCAGCAGUGGGGAAUAUUGGACAAUGGGGGAAAUCCUGAUCCAGCGACGCCGCGUGAGUGAAGAAGUAUUUCGGUAUGUAAAGCUCUAUCAGCAAGAAAGAAAAUGACGGUACUUGACUAAGAAGCCCCGGCUAACUACGUGCCAGCAGCCGCGGUAAUACGUAGGGGGCAAGCGUUAUCCGGAUUUACUGGGUGUAAAGGGAGCGUAGACGGCGAUGCAAGUCUGAAGUGAAAGCCCGGGGCUCACCCCCGGAACUGCUUUGGAAACUGUAUGGCUAGAGUGCAGGAGAGGUAUGUGGAAUUCCUAGUGUAGCGGUGAAAUGCGUAGAUAUUAGGAGGAACACCAGUGGCGAAGGCGACAUACUGGACUGUAACUGACGUUGAGGCUCGAAGGCGUGGGGAGCAAACAGGAUUAGAUACCCUGGUA